Molecule: ribosomal RNA, 254 nt
Filed under: uncultured bacterium
Lineage: Bacteria
Description: partial 16S ribosomal RNA
Rfam family: Bacterial small subunit ribosomal RNA
Source: RNAcentral
UACGUAGGGCGCAAGCGUUGUCCGGAAUUAUUGGGCGUAAAGAGCUCGUAGGCGGUCUGUCGCGUCCGUUGUGAAAACUCGAGGCUCAACCUCGGGCUUGCAGUGGAUACGGGCAGACUAGAGUGCGGUAGGGGAGACUGGAAUUCCUGGUGUAGCGGUGGAAUGCGCAGAUAUCAGGAGGAACACCGGUGGCGAAGGCGGGUCUCUGGGCCGAUACUGACGCUGAGGAGCGAAAGCGUGGGGGAGCGAACAGG